Molecule: non-coding RNA, 1128 nt
Organism: Danio rerio (zebrafish)
Lineage: Eukaryota; Metazoa; Chordata; Actinopteri; Cypriniformes; Danionidae
Source: RefSeq, a predicted model, not a curated record
UUUGUACUCGCAGAGCAAAUUUGCAAAUGCGUAUCAGUAAAUUUGUACUCGCAGAGCAAAUUUGCAAAUGUGUAGGUAUUUUUUGUCUCCAACAAACACAACGCAACAUUUACACCUGCACAAAUUCUUCAGUACAGGUGCACAAAUCCCAUCGGACGAAUCACAAAUGCAGAAACUCAUCCGCUCAUGUUCUUUGCUACUAUUGUUGCAGUGAAUAUGGUGCAAAACACAUUCACACACCUGCAUCCAGAAAUGUGAAGUCACAGACAAAACUUGCACAUCUGUAGAUUAGAAUGUGUAUCCGCACAAAGAGAGCUGAACGUGUGUAGAAUGUUUGAUUAUUUUUUUCUAAGCACGAACACAAAUAUGUUCCUGCAACUGCUCAAAUCUGCCGCUACGAGUCUCAAGCGCUGUUUUUCACUUGCAAAUCUACAUUUCGCUCUCUCGCUCUUCUGCACCAAAAAUCACUGUGACAUUUGGUGCAAAAGUUACUUGUGUAUCUGCCAACCAAAACGUGGGCUCUCAGAGAAAUUCAGCCAAUAGGGGAUGGGGCGUGACGUCACCGCUCUAGCGCUGCGGAGGCUGAACGUCGAAACCGAAACCCCCUUUGCGAGAUUCGCUGCAUCUAUACCUGAUUUGCGUUCAAAAAUGCCUGCUUAAUUAUUUCAUAGUAGGAGCAAACAUGCCUUAAGAAAAGGAGUAGGUUUGAAACUUUAGUAACCAUAAAAAGUACGCCAGGUGGAUGCCUUUCUACUCCAGGAAGCCGCAGCCUACGGCCUGAAGGAGGAAGAGGACGCGGUCAGUUUGAAAUAGCUGUUGUGAUAGAGCUGGACCUGUAGACAAGGGAACUAACACAUUUGAGGAAAAAAGAAUCCAAAAUAAGAGAUUGGUGUGUGUGGUGAGGGUAAAGAAGUCCACAUGCAGCAGCAUCUUGGAAAUGCUGUAAUGCAGGGGUGCCCAAACUCAGUUCUGGACAGCUGGUGUCCUGCAGAGUUUAGAGUCAACUUCAACUAAACUCUGCAAGACAGCAGCAGUUCUAGACUGAGUUUAGCCACUCCUGUUCUCCUGUAGUGAACUGAACGAGACCCUGCAUCAGUCCACAUGCCCUUGUGUCCUCAUCUGGACCAG